This is a long non-coding RNA of Acyrthosiphon pisum (pea aphid), 597 nucleotides long. RefSeq lists it as uncharacterized. The transcript is spliced from 2 exons. Lineage: Eukaryota; Metazoa; Arthropoda; Insecta; Hemiptera; Aphididae. The record is from RefSeq and is a predicted model, not a curated record.
GUGGGUACAUCAUGUCAUUUCAUUGAUUUAUUAAUUUAAAAGUGAGUUAUAUAUAUGACAUUAUGACUAAAUUAUAUUGGCUGAUAUCAUUAUACUAUACACUUAUAUUAUAAUAUAUCUAAUUGUGUGUGUAGAAUUAUAUUUGUGUCCAAAGGGCUCAGCCAGUUAAGUCAUAAUGAAUAAUAAUUAACUAUGUUAAAUAAAUUAUAUUAGGUACAAACAUAAAAUACACAUAACUUGCUUUAAAAAUAAAAUAUAAAUAAAUAUACCUGUAAGGUUCUUUAGAAAAUAUUUUUACUCUAUGUUUAUUAAAGCUAACAUUACAAAAUUUGAUCUGCUCUACAUAAAUUUGCUUACACAAUUGAUGUUGCUCGGUCACAGAGAAAAGAAAUAGUGCACUGACAUAUUUUUAACAAACUUUUAAUUUGCAGGUAAUAUAUUGCGGAACCAGUAUCCAAUUUUAAUAGCACUGAGCAUCUGGACAUAUUUAAAUUUCAAAGAACACAUAACAAGUUUGGAAAUUCAAUGUUCUGACAAUUGGAUGUGUUUCAUUUUGGGACAUUGCUGUCAGCAAAAGAGGGUUUCCAAGUUCCAGAU